This 1345-nucleotide ribosomal RNA is filed under the name human gut metagenome. Its description in RNAcentral is "bacterial LSU rRNA". It matches the Rfam family "Archaeal large subunit ribosomal RNA", at positions 1633 to 2987 of the family's 2987-position model. The record is from RNAcentral.
CCGUAAUGGUGAGAAGUUGGAGAAUGCGUUAUGGGGCGAGCGUAAGCUCGCUUUCGAUAAUUCCUGGAUUCCGUGAAACCUGCAUAGUUACAAUCUUGUUGUUCGUACCAAGAACCGACACAGGUGUCCCUAGGUGAGUAGCCUAAGGCGUGUUAGCAUAAUCGAGGCGAGGGAACUCGGCAAAUUAGCCCUGUAACUUCGGGAUAAGGGGUGCCAGUUGCGUGAGUAACUGGUCGCAGUAACAAGGGAACUCCGACUGUUUAAUAAAAACAUAGGUCGCUGCUAGUUCGAAAGGAUGUGUAUAGAGGCCGAAGCCUGCCCAGUGUCGGCAUCUGAAAAUCUGUUACAACGGAUCGAAGGACCGAUAAACGGCGGGGGUAACUAUGACCCUCUUAAGGUAGCGUAAUACCUUGUCGCUUAAUUGGCGACUUGCAUGAAGGCUCAACGAGAGUUCUACUGUCCCCGCCUCGACGCUAGUGAAAACAAUCAGUCUGGUGCACAAUCCAGACCCCUCCAUCUGAAAGCGAAGACCCCAUGGAGUUUCACUACAACCUGUUGUUGUGAUAUGAAUUUGCAUGUGUAGGGUAGGCGGGAGACGUUACCCAGGAAGGUGCGCUAGCAUCUCUCCGAGUCACCGAUGAAACACCGCCCUUGCGAAUUUGUACCACUAACCUUUACGAAGGGACAGCUAUAGGCAGGUAGUUCGGGUGGGGCGCCACGCCCUCAAAAAGAUAACAAGGGUGCCCAAAGGUUGGCUCAGGUAGGUCAGAAAUCUACCGAAGAAUGUAAGGGUAUAAGCCAGCUUGACUCGGAACCAGACAAUAGGGUUCGGAGAUAGGAAACUAAGGCUUAGCGAACCAAUCAACCUCCUGAGUGGGGGUGAUUGAUGUCAGAAAAAUUACCCUGGGGAUAAUUGAGUUGUCAGCAGCAAGAGUUCAUAUCGACCUGCUGGCUUGCUACUUCGCUGUCGGCUCUCCCUAUCCUGGUGGUGCAGCAGCUGCCAAGGGUGGGGUUGUUCGCCCAUUAAAAGGGAUCGUGAGCUGGGUUUAAAACGUCGCGAGACAGUUUUGUUGCUUUUUGAUGGAGGUGUAGGUACCUGACGAGAAGGACCCUUUAGUACGAGAGGAACAGGGGUUCGUCGCCUCUAGUUUAUCAGUUGUCUGACAAGGCAAGCUGAGUAGCCACGCGGUAGUGGAUAAGAGCUGAAGGCAUCUAAGCUCGAAGCCAUCUUAAAAAAGAGGUACCCAUAGAACGCUCAUAAAUGAUGAGUUUGAUAGAAGUGGGGUGUAAGUACCGAGGUUUUCCGAGGUAUUCAGCCCGCACUCACUAAAGUUCUUUUGACGUC